CAACAACCACACGGGAGCGCACACGACAGUGCGCUGAGAGGACGGCUGGGGCCGUCGACCGUAGAACCUGUCCGGGUAAUGCCGGCGUAGGGAGUGAG
RNAcentral lists this non-coding RNA (98 nucleotides) under uncultured Mycobacterium sp. RNAcentral describes it as "TPP". It matches the Rfam family "TPP riboswitch aptamer (THI element)", at positions 1 to 93 of the family's 105-position model. From Rfam's summary of the family: Vitamin B(1) in its active form thiamin pyrophosphate (TPP) is an essential coenzyme that is synthesised by coupling of pyrimidine and thiazole moieties in bacteria. The previously detected thiamin-regulatory element, thi box was extended, resulting in a new, highly conserved RNA secondary structure, the THI element, which is widely distributed in eubacteria and also occurs in some archaea. Lineage: Bacteria; Bacillati; Actinomycetota; Actinomycetes; Mycobacteriales; Mycobacteriaceae. The record is from RNAcentral.